GUCUUUGGCCAUACCACCCUGAAAGAGCUUUAUUUCGUCUGAUCUCAGAAACUAAGCAGGGUCCAGCCCAUUUAGUGCUUGGAUGGAAGAACUAAUUGGAAUAUCAAGGUUGACUCCU
Non-coding RNA from Dipodomys ordii (Ord's kangaroo rat), 118 nucleotides. The record is from Rfam. NCBI's taxonomy places the organism in Eukaryota, Metazoa, Chordata, Mammalia, Rodentia, Heteromyidae.